AACUUUCAACAACGGAUCUCUUGGCUCUCGCAUCGAUGAAGAAAGCAGCGAAAUGCGAUAAGUAAUGUGAAUUGCAGAAUUCAGUGAAUCAUCGAAUCUUUGAACGCACCUUGCGCCCCUUGGUAUUCCGAGGGGCAUGCCUGUUUGAGUGUCAUG
RNAcentral lists this ribosomal RNA (156 nucleotides) under Tropicoporus linteus. Its description in RNAcentral is "5.8S ribosomal RNA". It matches the Rfam family "5.8S ribosomal RNA". Rfam says of the family: 5.8S ribosomal RNA (5.8S rRNA) is a component of the large subunit of the eukaryotic ribosome. It is transcribed by RNA polymerase I as part of the 45S precursor that also contains 18S and 28S rRNA. The record is from RNAcentral. Lineage: Eukaryota; Fungi; Basidiomycota; Agaricomycetes; Hymenochaetales; Hymenochaetaceae.